This 742-nucleotide ribosomal RNA is filed under the name uncultured bacterium. Its description in RNAcentral is "bacterial SSU rRNA". It matches the Rfam family "Bacterial small subunit ribosomal RNA", at positions 8 to 796 of the family's 1533-position model. The record is from RNAcentral.
AGAGUUUGAUCCUGGCUCAGAACGAACGCUGGCGGCAUGCCUAAUACAUGCAAGUCGAACGAGAUCUUCGGAUCUAGUGGCGCACAGGUGCGUAACGCGUGGGAAUCUGCCCUUGGGUUCGGAAUAACUUCUGGAAACGGAAGCUAAUACCGGAUGAUGACGUAAGUCCAAAGAUUUAUCGCCCAAGGAUGAGCCCGCGUCUGAUUAGCUAGUUGGUGAGGUAAAGGCUCACCAAGGCGACGAUCAGUAGCUGGUCUGAGAGGAUGAUCAGCCACAUUGGGACUGAGACACGGCCCAAACUCCUACGGGAGGCAGCAGUGGGGAAUCUUGCGCAAUGGGCGAAAGCCUGACGCAGCCAUGCCGCGUGAAUGAUGAAGGUCUUAGGAUUGUAAAAUUCUUUCACCGGGGACGAUAAUGACGGUACCCGGAGAAGAAGCCCCGGCUAACUUCGUGCCAGCAGCCGCGGUAAUACGAAGGGGGCUAGCGUUGCUCGGAAUUACUGGGCGUAAAGGGAGCGUAGGCGGACUGUUUAGUCAGAGGUGAAAGCCCAGGGCUCAACCUUGGAAUUGCCUUUGAUACUGGCAGUCUUGAGUACGGAAGAGGUAUGUGGAACUCCGAGUGUAGCGGUGAAAUUCGUAGAUAUUCGGAAGAACACCAGUGGCGAAGGCGACAUACUGGUCCGUUACUGACGCUGAGGCUCGAAAGCGUGGGGAGCAAACAGGAUUAGAUACCCUGGUAGUCC